Ricinus communis (castor bean) is the source of this 883-nucleotide long non-coding RNA. RefSeq lists it as uncharacterized. NCBI's taxonomy places the organism in Eukaryota, Viridiplantae, Streptophyta, Magnoliopsida, Malpighiales, Euphorbiaceae. The transcript is spliced from 3 exons. The record is from RefSeq and is a predicted model, not a curated record.
AAGAGGCAUUCUUGACUUUUAACAAAUUGCAGGCCACCUCCCCAUUAUUAAUCAGGUUUGCUUGUCAACUUGGGUUCUUGAGAAGGAAGUUCCUCUUCAUUUCUCCUCCUACAAGUACAAAUUAAUCUAGCCGCUCAGUUUGCUAGGACUGGUUUUGGAUGACCGAAGGGAUUAAAGAUCGGAGAGAUGGAUCCAAAGCUAGAAGAACUUAGCCAUAGCUACAAAGAAUUGACUAGCAUCAACGAGAAGCAAGAGAAGAGAGUAAGACAUCUUGAAACUAAAUUAAUGUGGUCAGUGAGUUCCUAUGUUGUCGCUCAAGGAAUCGUUUUCUUGUCUAUUUCUCGACCCUCAAACAUCUCCUGCAACAAAUGGUGGUACCCCUUUUUCCUUGCUUUAUCGGUUGCUAUCGUGUUUGGCCUAACCUUUACAACUACAAUUUCUAAGUGGGCAAAGACACAGUAUCAAUAUGAGUUGAAUUUACUGGACUUGGAAAUCAUACAUUAUGACCUGUACUUGCUUAAACAUGGCCAGACGAAGAUUGAUGCUUUAUCUAAUUUGCAACCAGAUCAAAGUGUUUUGAGGCCUGACAUGGUUAGGGUGUAUCAGCGCUAUGCUUACAUCUACGUGACUGCUUUUGCUUUGCUUGGAUUCUCAGCUGUAGUCUUGCGUGCCUGUUUUACUCUUGUUUGCAAUUAAUGGUGUGGUGUUUCAAAGAAUAAGCUGUGACCGUAGAAGGGUAAUAUAUAGAGUUGAUGCUAAACUGCCUUCUACGAAUUGCAGAGCAAUAAAAACCACUCUGUUUUCAUCAAUUAGUACUUUUCAAGAAUUUACUUGUGUUUGUAACCAUGCUCGUAUGUACCAGAAAUAAAUACACAAUUAUGUC